Molecule: ribosomal RNA, 465 nt
Filed under: uncultured bacterium
Lineage: Bacteria
Description: partial 16S ribosomal RNA
Rfam family: Bacterial small subunit ribosomal RNA
Source: RNAcentral
CCUACGGGUGGCAGCAGUGGGGAAUAUUGCGCAAUGGGCGAAAGCCUGACGCAGCGACGCCGCGUGAGGGAUGAAGGUCUUAGGAUCGUAAACCUCUGUCAGCAGGGAAGAACGGUCACUGUGCUAAUCAGCAGUGAAUUGACGGUACCUGCAAAGGAAGCACCGGCUAAUUCCGUGCCAGCAGCCGCGGUAAUACGGAGGGUGCGAGCGUUAAUCGGAAUUACUGGGCGGAAAGCGCUCGUAGGCGGUAUGGCAAGUAAAGGGUGAAAUCCCCGGGCUCAACGUGGGAACUGCCUUUGAAACUGGCAAGCUGGAGUGUGUGAGAGGAUAGUGGAAUUCGAGGUGUAGGGGUGAAAUCCUUAGAUAUCUGGAAGAACAUCAGUGGCGAAGGCGACUAUCUGGCACAUAACUGACGCUGAGGAGCGAAAGCGUGGGUAGCAAACAGGAUUAGAUACCCCGGUAGUG